UAUACCGUGAAACUGCGAAUGGCUCAUUAAAUCAGUUAUCGUUUAUUUGAUAGUACCUUACUACUUGGAUACCCGUGGUAAUUCUAGAGCUAAUACAUGCAAAAAACCCCAACUUCGGGAGGGGUGUAUUUAUUAGAUAAAAAACCAAUGCCCUUCGGGGCUCUUUGGUGAUUCAUGAUAACUUAACGGAUCGCAUGGCCUUGCGCCGGCGACGGUUCAUUCAAAUUUCUGCCCUAUCAACUUUCGAUGGUAAGGUAUUGGCUUACCAUGGUUUCAACGGGUAACGGAUUUUUAGGGAAAGAUCCCGGAGAGGGAGCCUGAGAAACGGCUACCACAUCCAAGGAAGGCAGCAGGCGCGCAAAUUACCCAAUCCCGACACGGGGAGGUAGUGACAAUAAAUACUGAUACAGGGCUCUUUUGGGUCUUGUAAUCGGAAUGAGUACAAUUUAAAUACCUUAACGAGGAACAAUUGGAGGGCAAGUCUGGUGCCAGCAGCCGCGGUAAUUCCAGCUCCAAUAGCGUAUAUUAAAGUUGUUGCAGUUAAAAAGCUCGUAGUUGAACCUUGGGCCUGGCUGGCCGGUCCGCCUCACCGCGUGUACUGGUCCGGCCGGGCCUUUCCUUCUGGAGAACCGCAUGCCCUUCACUGGGUGUGUCGGGGAACCAGGACUUUUACUUUGAGAAAAUUAGAGUGUUCAAAGCAGGCCUUUGCUCGAAUACGUUAGCAUGGAAUAAUAGAAUAGGACGUGCGGUCCUAUUUUGUUGGUUUCUAGAACCGCCGUAAUGAUUAAUAGGGAUAGUCGGGGGCGUCAGUAUUCAAUUGUCAGAGGUGAAAUUCUUGGAUCUAUUGAAGACUAACUACUGCGAAAGCAUUCGCCAAGGAUGUUUUCAUUAAUCAGUGAACGAAAGUUAGGGGAUCGAAGACGAUCAGAUACCGUCGUAGUCUUAACCGUAAACUAUGCCGACUAGGGAUCGGGCGAUGUUUCUAUAUUGACUCGCUCGGCACCUUACGAGAAAUCAUAA
Molecule: ribosomal RNA, 1020 nt
Filed under: Pararoussoella coffeae
Lineage: Eukaryota; Fungi; Ascomycota; Dothideomycetes; Pleosporales; Thyridariaceae
Description: SSU rRNA
Rfam family: Eukaryotic small subunit ribosomal RNA
Source: RNAcentral